CCUANGGGAGGCAGCAGUGGGGAAUAUUGGACAAUGGGGGAAACCCUGAUCCAGCAAUGCCGCGUGUGUGAAGAAGGCCUGCGGGUUGUAAAGCACUUUUGGCAGGGAUGAAAAGCACUGGAUUAAUAACCCAGUGUGUUGACCUAACCUGCAGAAGAAGCACCGGCUAACUCUGUGCCAGCAGCCGCGGUAAUACAGGGGGUGCGAGCGUUAAUCGGAAUUACUGGGCGUAAAGGGCGCGUAGGCGGUCGAGUAAGUCGGAUGUGAAAUCCCCGGGCUUAACCUGGGAAUUGCAUUCGAUACUGCUUGGCUAGAGUGUGGAAGAGGGAAGCGGAAUUUCCGGUGUAGCGGUGAAAUGCGUAGAUAUCGGAAGGAACACCAGUGGCGAAGGCGGCUUCCUGGUCCAACACUGACGCUGAGGCGCGAAAGCGUGGGGAGCAAACAGGAUUAGAUACCCUGNUANUC
This 465-nucleotide ribosomal RNA is filed under the name uncultured bacterium. Its description in RNAcentral is "bacterial SSU rRNA". It matches the Rfam family "Bacterial small subunit ribosomal RNA", at positions 338 to 795 of the family's 1533-position model. The record is from RNAcentral.